RNAcentral lists this long non-coding RNA (468 nucleotides) under Nicotiana tabacum (common tobacco). Its description in RNAcentral is "long non-coding RNA (NTAB_LNC005486)". Lineage: Eukaryota; Viridiplantae; Streptophyta; Magnoliopsida; Solanales; Solanaceae. The record is from RNAcentral.
CAUUUGGACAGGUUGAUAGAGAUCCGAGGCCCCUACACCGUGCGGCAAGGCUGUUGAUUAAUUCUCAGUUGGAAGAUGGUGACUUCCCACAACAGGUAAUUACUCUGAAAAUUACAAGCUAAACUGUUGAAAACAUAAUUAAGUAAAUAAAAGUAUGUUCUCUCUAACAACUUAAGUUUUUAGAUUAGAUGGUCACGCACUUCAAUAUAAAUAAAGGAAAAAAUUCUUCAGCUGUUAAAAGAUCAAGCUGUUAAGUAUUGGAAUGAGAUAGACUCAAAUUGAACAAAACGGACAUAGAUGAUUCAUAUAGUCAACUCAAACUAGUUUAGAAGCUGGUCGUAUUUGAUUGAUAUCGAUUACCUUAUAUAAAGGAACAAGUUGUUUCAGACUGGCAAAACAAUAUCUAAAAGAACAAGGGCAACUCGGUGCAUCAAGCUUUCACUAUGCGCGGGGUUCGGGGAAGGGUCG